AGUGAACGCUGGCGGUAGGCCUAACACAUGCAAGUCGAACGGCAGCACAGUAAGAGCUUGCUCUUACGGGUGGCGAGUGGCGGACGGGUGAGGAAUACAUCGGAAUCUACUUUUUCGUGGGGGAUAACGUAGGGAAACUUACGCUAAUACCGCAUACGACCUACGGGUGAAAGCAGGGGAUCUUCGGACCUUGCGCGAUUGAAUGAGCCGAUGUCGGAUUAGCUAGUUGGCGGGGUAAAGGCCCACCAAGGCGACGAUCCGUAGCUGGUCUGAGAGGAUGAUCAGCCACACUGGAACUGAGACGCGGUCCAGACUCCUACGGGAGGCAGCAGUGGGGAAUAUUGGACAAUGGGCGCAAGCCUGAUCCAGCCAUACCGCGUGGGUGAAGAAGGCCUUCGGGUUGUAAAGCCCUUUCGUUGGGAAAGAAAAGCAGCAGGUUAAUACCCCGCUGUUCUGACGGUACCCAAAGAAUAAGCACCGGCUAACUUCGUG
Molecule: ribosomal RNA, 492 nt
Filed under: uncultured bacterium
Lineage: Bacteria
Description: partial 16S ribosomal RNA
Rfam family: Bacterial small subunit ribosomal RNA
Source: RNAcentral